GAUGAAGAACGCAGCGAAAUGCGAUACGUAAUGUGAAUUGCAGAAUUCAGUGAAUCAUCGAGUCUUUGAACGCACAUUGCGCCCCCUGGUAUUCCGGGGGGCAUGCCUGUCCGAGCGUCAUUGCUGCCCUCAAGCACGGCUUGUGUGUUGGGCCUCCGUCCUCCUCCCGGGGGACGGGCCCGAAAGGCAGCGGCGGCACCGCGUCCGGUCCUCGAGCGUAUGGGGCUUCGUCACCCGCUCUUGUAGGCCCGGCCGGCGCUUGCCGACACAUCAAUCUUUUUUCCAGGUUGACCUCGGCUCAGGUAGGGAUACCCGCUGAACUUAAGCAUAUCAAUAAGCGGAGGA
RNAcentral lists this unclassified non-coding RNA (345 nucleotides) under soil metagenome. Its description in RNAcentral is "partial contains 5.8S ribosomal RNA, internal transcribed spacer 2, and large subunit ribosomal RNA". The stretch from base 1 to 120 matches the Rfam family "5.8S ribosomal RNA", at positions 35 to 154 of the family's 154-position model. The record is from RNAcentral.